RNAcentral lists this long non-coding RNA (1416 nucleotides) under Malus domestica (apple). Its description in RNAcentral is "long non-coding RNA (MDOM_LNC017487)". The record is from RNAcentral. Lineage: Eukaryota; Viridiplantae; Streptophyta; Magnoliopsida; Rosales; Rosaceae.
AAAGAAAGAACUCCAAACACUCCACUAAUGGCAGAUUGCAUGUGCAAGGUGUCUUCCUCCUUUGGACUGCACGGCACUCCUUCUUUCUCCUCCUUUGGUGGCUGCACAAGGUGGUGAUGGUGGUGGGAAGGCACGGCUGUGGUAGAUGAAUGGUUAUGGAAAAGGGUAGAAGGGUUAAAAGGACUAGGGAGGCACGGCAAAGGGCUUAGAACUAGGGAGAAUGAAGGGGUUGGUUGCGGCAAGGGUUUAAAAUGAAUUUCUGGAGUGCAUGGAUGAUAUGGGAGGUGGUAUAUUCGGCCAAGAGGUUUAAAAGAGUAUAUAUAGGCACUUAAAAACCCUAGCAAUCAGAUUAGGGUUUCUAGAAACCCAAAUCCACCAGAAAAUAGGUUAAAACAAUCAGAAUUUGCAAGGGAAAAGGCCUAGGGUUCGGCUGGUUUAGUGGGCUAGGGUUUAGGCUUCUAGAAUGCCUUGCAAGGCAAGGAAAUCAGAUAUUUAAAGCCCUAGGUGCGGCAUAGGGUUAGGGAGAUCAGAUUUGGAAAUGGGCUAGGGUUUAGGUGCGGCAUAGGGUGAAUAUCCACAAAGAAUUAGGGCUUAGGUCCACUUAGUUUUAAACAGGGAUUUGCAUAACCCAAAUCCACAACUAAAGGCCCUAAUAAGUCAGAAUUUAAGAGAGAAUGGGCUAGGAAGUGCGGCUCAAGUCCAAGAGGUAAGGAUAGGUCAUCCAAAAGCCCAACGCCAAGAAUAGAAACUCUCACAAAUGGAAACCUCCAAGAAUAUAAACUUCCAACUUUAGAAACUUUGGUUUCUAAUUCUGAAUUCUUUGUUCUUCACAUUCAUUUCUUCAUUUCUUAAGCUCCUUUGCCCUUCAAACUCGUCCAUUCCUUGUGCUCCAAGCAUGUACUUUCCAAUCUAAGCUCCAUUUUGCUCCAAAAGGCUCCAAUUUGCAUCCUUUUAUGUCAUAUGCCCUUUAAGCCUGAAAACACAUGAAAGUAGCUCAAAAGACUACUUUAACGAAGAAAACAUAACGAAAAUGCAUAAGAACUAGCUAACUAAGGCGCAUAAAUAUGCUCCUAUCAAACCAGUUCAUCAAUAUCAUCACGCAAUCAGGUUCUUCAAAAACAACGGUUUUUAUCUCGAUAUUUUUACAGCCCUGAUAGCAUGAACAUUCACCAUAAUGCAUGACCCAACUUUAUGUUUUUCGAAUUUUAGAUUCUACAUAAAUUGUGUAUGCAUUAUAUCCAUAAUUAUAAAAGGGUAAAUUACACAAAAUUACCUCAAUUACUGAUCUCACGACACUUUCAUACCUCAUUUUUUUAAAAUGACAAUGUCAUACCUCAUCUUACAAAUUUGUGCCAAUGUCAUACCUCCGUCAAAUUUUUUGUUAUUUUCUUUGUUAAGUGCUGAUGUGGCUACAUG